This 465-nucleotide ribosomal RNA is filed under the name uncultured Veillonellaceae bacterium. RNAcentral describes it as "bacterial SSU rRNA". It matches the Rfam family "Bacterial small subunit ribosomal RNA", at positions 338 to 795 of the family's 1533-position model. Lineage: Bacteria; Bacillati; Bacillota; Negativicutes; Veillonellales; Veillonellaceae. The record is from RNAcentral.
CCUACGGGGGGCUGCAGUGGGGAAUCUUCCGCAAUGGACGAAAGUCUGACGGAGCAACGCCGCGUGAGUGAAGAAGGUUUUCGAAUCGUAAAGCUCUGUUGUCAGGGACGAGCAGGGGGAGUAUCAACAACACUUCCCCAUGACGGUACCUGACGAGGAAGCCACGGCUAACUACGUGCCAGCAGCCGCGGUAAUACGUAGGUGGCGAGCGUUGUCCGGAAUUAUUGGGCGUAAAGGGAGCGCAGGUGGGAAAGUAAGUCUGCUUUAAAAGUGCGGGGCUCAACCCCGUGAGGGAGUGGAAACUAUUUUUCUUGAGUGCAGGAGAGGAAAGCGGAAUUCCUAGUGUAGCGGUGAAAUGCGUAGAUAUUAGGAGGAACACCAGUGGCGAAGGCGGCUUUCUGGACUGUAACUGACACUGAGGCUCGAAAGCCAGGGGAGCGAACGGGAUUAGAUACCCCUGUAGUC